CGAUUAGGUUGUUGGCGGUGUAACGGACCACCAAGCCUUAGAUCGGUACGGGCACUGAGAGGUGGAGCCCGGAGAUGGGGGCUGAGACACGGCCCCAGGCCCUACGGGGCGCAGCAGGCGCGAAAACUCCGCAAUACGCGCAAGCGUGACGGGGGAACCCCAAGUGCCUCAUCUUUUUGGUGAGGCUUUUUCAGAGUGUAAACAGCUCUGAGAAUAAAAGCGGGGUAAGACCGGUGCCAGCCGCCGCGGUAACACCGGCCGCUCAAGUGGUGACCGCUAUUAUUGGGCCUAAAGCGUCCGUAGCCGGUUCGGUAAGUCCCUGGGUAAAUCCUGCCGUUUAACGGUAGGAAUUCUGGGGAUACUGCCGGACUCGGGGUCGAGAGAAGUCGGAGGUACUCCGGGGGUAGCGGUGAAAUGCUGUAAUCCUCGGGGGACCACCAGUGGCGAAGGCGUCCGACUAGAGCGGGCCCGACGGUGAGGGACGAAAGCCAGGGGAGCGAACGGGAUUAGAUACCCCGGUAGUCCUGGCCGUAAACGCUGUGGGCUAGGUGUUGCAUGCUCUACGAGGGCAUGCAGUGCCGUAGAGAAGUUGAUAAGCCUACCGCCUGGGAAGCACUACCGCAAGGUAGAAACUUAAAGG
Molecule: ribosomal RNA, 640 nt
Filed under: uncultured archaeon
Lineage: Archaea
Description: bacterial SSU rRNA
Rfam family: Archaeal small subunit ribosomal RNA
Source: RNAcentral